This 468-nucleotide ribosomal RNA is filed under the name uncultured bacterium. RNAcentral describes it as "partial 16S ribosomal RNA". It matches the Rfam family "Bacterial small subunit ribosomal RNA", at positions 28 to 507 of the family's 1533-position model. The record is from RNAcentral.
GACGAACGCUGGCGGCGUGCUUAACACAUGCAAGUCGAACGGAAAGGCCCUGCUUUUUUUGGUUGCUCGAGUGGCGAACGUGUGAGUAACACGUGAGUAACCUGCCCUUGUCUUUGGUAUAACUUCAGGAAACUUGUGCUAAUACCUGAUAGGAGCUCCUGCUGCAUGUUGGGGGUUGGAAAGUUUCGGCGGUUGGGGAUGGACUCGCUGCUUAUCAGCUUGUUGGUGGGGUAGUGGAUUACCAAGGCUUUGACGGGUAGCCUGACUGAGAGGGUGACCGGAAAAAUUGGGAAGGAGAUACGGCCCAGAGUAAUACGGGAGGCAGCAGUGGGGAAUAUGGCACAAUGGGCGGAAGCCUGAUGAAGAAAAGCAGCGGGAGGGAUGACGGCCUUCGGGUUGUAAAACGCAUUAGCCUGUGACGAAGAGUGAGUGACGGUAAUGGGUAAAGAAGCACCGGCUAACUACGUG